RNAcentral lists this transfer RNA (534 nucleotides) under uncultured cyanobacterium. Its description in RNAcentral is "partial 16S-23S intergenic spacer". The stretch from base 206 to 278 matches the Rfam family "tRNA". Lineage: Bacteria; Bacillati; Cyanobacteriota. The record is from RNAcentral.
AGACAACAAAAUGUUAAAUAUUAAUUUUGUCACCUUAGGUCGAUCGGUAUCUCACAUUCUUAGUUUAUUUAAGAAUUUUAUUUCCUAAGUUUUUUCUAGGUCACACCCAUUAUUUUCCUGGGCCAUUAGCUCAGGUGGUUAGAGCGCACCCCUGAUAAGGGUGAGGUCCCUGGUUCAAGUCCAGGAUGGCCCAUAUCUCUAUGUUGGGGGUAUAGCUCAGUUGGUAGAGCGCCUGCUUUGCAAGCAGGAUGUCAGCGGUUCGAGUCCGCUUACCUCCACUGAUCACCACCUCUUCCAUACAUUUAAGAAGGGAAAUUUUUUGAGUUGUGAUCAAAUUCUGAACGAAUCUAGCUUCCUAAUAUUUUUAUUAAGAUGCUGGACUCAUUGAAUUAAUUUCAUUGUUUUCAGAGAACCUUGACAACUGCAUAGAUUAUUUUAAAGACAAUAAGCAUCAAUAAUGAUGCAGAUUUAUUAUUUGUGCAAAUGCAUUAAUAACAAUUCUAUUAAGCUGAUGCUUCAAUUUUUGAAGUUAUU